UUAGUUGUGUCCAAGUGGUUAAGGCAAUGGAUUAGAAAUCUAUUGGGGUCUCCCCAUGCAGGUUCAAAUCCUACUGACUAUG
Phrynosoma platyrhinos (Desert horned lizard) is the source of this 82-nucleotide non-coding RNA. The record is from the annotation of a GenBank genome assembly. Lineage: Eukaryota; Metazoa; Chordata; Lepidosauria; Squamata; Phrynosomatidae.